CCUACGGGAGGCAGCAGUGGGGAAUAUUGGACAAUGGGGGAAACCCUGAUCCAGCCAUGCCGCGUGAGUGAAGAAGGCCUUAGGGUUGUAAAACUCUUUCAGCGGGGAAGAUGAUGACGGUACCCGCAGAAGAAGCCCCGGCUAACUCCGUGCCAGCAGCCGCGGUAAUACKGAGGGGGCUAGCGUUGUUCGGAAUUACUGGGCGUAAAGCGCACGUAGGCGGUCCGCGUAGUCAGGCGUGAAAGCCCCGGGCUCAACCUGGGAAYUGCGCUUGAUACUGGCGGGCUGGAGUACGGGAGAGGGUAGUGGAAUUCCCAGUGUAGAGGUGAAAUUCGUAGAUAUUGGGAAGAACACCAGUGGCGAAGGCGGCUACCUGGACCGGUACUGACGCUGAGGUGCGAAAGCGUGGGGAGCGAACAGGAUUAGAUACCCUGGUAGUCCACGCCGUAAACGAUGAGUGCUAGAUAUCGGGGAACCUAGUUCUUCGGUCUCGCAGCUAACGCAUUAAGCACUCCGCCUGGGGAGUACGGCCGCAAGGUUAAAACUCAAAGGAAUUGACGG
This 561-nucleotide ribosomal RNA is filed under the name uncultured bacterium. RNAcentral describes it as "bacterial SSU rRNA". It matches the Rfam family "Bacterial small subunit ribosomal RNA", at positions 338 to 916 of the family's 1533-position model. The record is from RNAcentral.